Long non-coding RNA from Mus musculus (house mouse), 1104 nucleotides. RefSeq annotates it as predicted gene, 52673. NCBI's taxonomy places the organism in Eukaryota, Metazoa, Chordata, Mammalia, Rodentia, Muridae. The record is from RefSeq and is a predicted model, not a curated record. The transcript has 3 exons.
CACAUGCCUAAUCUGACAGUUUAGAAACUCAGACCAUGUUCCAAACGGAGAGACUGCCUAUUUGAGGCAGAGGCUUCAGCUGAGCUGGGGUCUAAAGUGUCCAAGGAGGACCUUGGCUCUGCUACAGGCACUGUGGUCAGCUGACCAUGAUACCCAGACCCCCAGGCAGCCACCAAGCACCCUGUGAAUGUCCCCCCCCCCCCAGUGCUGCUUCAGGGCCUUGAGAACCCUACUGCCAGGGUCAGCAGUGCUGUGUCCUGCAGGGUCAGCAGUGCUGCCGCCCAUUGCUGCCUGUCCUGGCUGUGCAUGCAUCCUCCUGCCUUGGUCAGGAGGUACCUGGAGGGGAAGGUCGUGCGAGCAGCACAUGGCGUCAUGCUGCUUAGCCCGCUCUGCUUCACACUCUCCUCACUACCCCCUUGCCUGCCAUCUUGAAUCAAUUCUGAGGUCCUGACAGCUGGGAUGGCUGGAAUGUAGAUGGGUCCCUCUGCCACGCUGACACCUACUUCUCACAUCCUCACUACCUGUCUUGGCACAUGCCUGCCAGCCCCAGAGAGAUGCAUGGCAGUGACAGAGCGUGUACACGGACAGAGGAUGGGACAGAAGAAUCACCAGGCGUCUGUGUGCAGCCCAGCCCCAGGGAGCGCCUGGCAUGCUAUCCUUCCUGCUGCUUUCUGGGUUGGAGAGCUGAGGUCAGUACCAGCCAGAGCAUAGCAGGUAUGAAGAACUGUGUGAGGUGGCAUUCGGUGAAGAGCAAAGCCUCUGGGACAGUCUGGGCUCAAGCAGGCACUCCCCAAGUGAAUCCCCAAGUGGGAAGCAGAUACUGGCCCUGAACAGCCACUGGGGUGCAUUUUCGGCUUUGUCCUCACAGCAGGCCCAGAAGGGGCACUGAGGAAGACUUGAUUCCAUCCACACUAGGCAGCAGGCAGGCGUAUCAGCCAGAGGCCUUCCACCUGUGCCUGUGUCCUGUCGGAUUUGUUUCUCAAUAAUGUAGCUUGUAGCUAGGGGCGAGAUGAGAUGCCAUCUGUUAAGAGAGACAACUACUGAGGUCCUUGUCCCUCAGUGAGGACAAAGAGGCUCCAGGGCUGACCAGCUGCUGCUGAUCUA